AAACCCUCAAGCUCAUGCUUGGUGUUGGGCGUCUGUCCGCGCUUUCGAGCGUGGACUCGCCCCAAAUUCAUUGGCAGCGGCUCCGCCGGCUUCUCGCGCAGCACUUUGCGCUCAAGAAGGUUUUCGGCGGGCUCGCGUCCAUCAAGUCACCCCUCA
Molecule: unclassified non-coding RNA, 156 nt
Filed under: uncultured Didymosphaeriaceae
Lineage: Eukaryota; Fungi; Ascomycota; Dothideomycetes; Pleosporales; Didymosphaeriaceae
Description: sequence contains ITS2
Source: RNAcentral